AUGGACGACAUGGACGACUCUCGCCUGUUCAUGCAGUGGGCGGUGAGCACACUGGAGCAGCAGGAUCCAGGAGCCGCCGGCGGCGGCCAGAAGAGCGCCGGCUUCCUGUGUCUCCAGGCGCUCCGCGAUUCCUCGGAGCUGGCGGAAGCACAGAACAGUCUGAGCUCCGGCGACGACACCGGCGGCUGUGGGGGAAUCAUCAGCCCAGCCUCUGAUGCGGCUGUGCACCAAGGCAGUUGGUCCACGUCGUCCCCGACCUCGGGCGGGCCGUUCGCGUCCAGCAGCACCGGCAGCAGCGACGCCCUGUCUACAAGCUGGAACUUUGGCGCUGUCUUGCCGCCGCAGCCGGCUGGCAGCGGGGGCGGGGGCACGCGAGCGCCGCUUCUUUCCGGCGUGUCACAGUUGAUGAGGAGGGCCCCCACAAAGGGCCCGCCGCACGCGCAAGACCACGUCAUGGCGGAGCGGAAGCGCCGGGAGAAGAUCAACCAGCGCUUCAUCGAGCUCUCCGCUCUCAUUCCCGGCCUCAAGAUGGACAAGGGGACGAUUCUUACCGACGCGACGAGAUACGUGAAGGAGCUCCAGGAGAGGGUGAGGUCACUGGAGGCUGCCGGCGGCAACCAUAGGAGCGUCGAGACCGUGGUGCUCGUGAGGAAGCCGUGCCGCCCUGUCGCGCCAGACGACGGCGAGGGCUCCGCACGGUUCCUCUUGGCGGCCGGGACGCCAGCAACUGGAAACCAGCUGCCGGAGAUCGAGGCAAAGCUCUCGGAGGACAACGUCAUGGUGAGGAUCCACUGUGAAAUGAAUGGAAAGGGUCUGGUCUCCAGGGUUCUCACGGAGGUCGAGGAGCUCCACCUCCGCAUCGUCCACAACGAUGUGAUGCCGUUCACGGCGUCCACCGUGAUUAUCACCACCAUGGCAAAGGUGGAAGAGGGCUUUACCGUCAACACAGAGGAGAUUGUAGAAAGACUCAACUCUGCACUGUACCAACAUAGCAGCAACAACAGCAGUGGCAGCAACAAUUAUUAA
This 1026-nucleotide ribosomal RNA is filed under the name Triticum aestivum (bread wheat). RNAcentral describes it as "partial small subunit ribosomal RNA". The record is from RNAcentral. Lineage: Eukaryota; Viridiplantae; Streptophyta; Magnoliopsida; Poales; Poaceae.